GGUGCUGCUUUUAAGAGUGCCACGUUCUCACAGUUUCAGUAAAGCGCACGGCAAUAAACACUCACUUACACGUCGUUGUUUAGAAUCUGAUGAUCGAAAAACGCAAAGUGAAAACCUGUUUCAGCGUCAAUAUUUUCCGUUGCAUCGAGUGGGAGUUGCGUGUAUUUAAGCUCCCGCGGCAUAACACCUCCAUCCGGGUUACGGGUCGUGGAAUUUCCGCUUACGCAACAUCCGGUAACACGUAAUAUCGUAGUCAAAAUGUUAAUGCAUAGGUUUUUAUUCCGGGUGAAGGAUAUUCCUUUCUAUAGAAUUCCGGGGAUGGGAAUAUUUACUGUACAAGCCUCAAAAAACAUCAUCAUCAUCAAGAUUACAGUGGUGCGCUAAAAAAAAAAAAAGCUACAUUGGAGCUAUUAAAGCGAGAGCUAAAUUGGAAGACAAGAUCCCAAAUCAAGGCGAGACAAGUGAGACGGGACAAAAAAAAAGAAAAAUAAUACAUGGGGGCCGAGAGCCACUCUGCAUCAAUGAUAUUUGUGGAACAUAUAUUUAAAGAGAAUGAGAAGAUCUGAGAGAGAGAGAGAGAGAGAGACAGAGAGAGAGAGAGAGAGAGAGAGAGGAAGAGGGAGAGGGUGAGGGAGAGGGAGAGAGAUGGAGAUAGAGACGUGCCUGUACAACACAGCACAGGAAGCUACUACUAACAUGGUGAGGAGAGGCCUUUCCGUGGCUCUACAAACCUCUGACGAGCUGGGCAGACAGAAUUAAGAACCUGAUGUCGCACAAGUCCCGGUCUCCAAAAGGAGGAGAGAGCAGCUGGAGGCACCAUGGGAAAGUUGAAAAAAAAAGUCUGAUUCAUAAAGGCGAGCGAACAACUGAAAUCGUUUCAAGUCUGAUUGUCCAACCAGAAGCCAAAAGAUGACGGUGGUGGACAGAAAGGUCGUGCAUCUGGACGUGGUGGGAUGAAUCGAUGUGGUGACAAACUGGUGGAAAGCCAAAAACCAUCCUCUCCACAGCUGCACUUUCGUUCAUUGUUCAAUUUGCACUUUUGUUCAUAGUUCAAUGGUUUUGUUGUGUGCAAAUAA
Molecule: long non-coding RNA, 1076 nt
Organism: Hippocampus zosterae (dwarf seahorse)
Lineage: Eukaryota; Metazoa; Chordata; Actinopteri; Syngnathiformes; Syngnathidae
Exons: 3
Source: RefSeq, a predicted model, not a curated record